AGAUCGUCAUCACACAGAUAUUCGGUAUCUAUCGGUUCAGAUAUGGUGACGUCAUCAGGGUUAGGCGUUAUCACUUGAAUACACCUGUAGUUGAAUUCAUGUAUAGAUCAGGCCAGAUGCUCAACGUGAAAUAUGAGAAACUUGAUCAAAGCAUUGUGAAGGAAGCCAUAGAGGCUGCAGUAAACCACUGGUCUAAUGUCAGCCUGGAUGAUUAUGCUGUAGCAGAAAGCUUUCUCUUGGAUGAUCAUGACAAAGAUGAUGCUGACCAUCGCCCAUACUACGUGGUGUUUCUUGAGAUUUCACCUACCCCUG
Long non-coding RNA from Strongylocentrotus purpuratus (purple sea urchin), 312 nucleotides. RefSeq lists it as uncharacterized. The record is from RefSeq and is a predicted model, not a curated record. Lineage: Eukaryota; Metazoa; Echinodermata; Echinoidea; Camarodonta; Strongylocentrotidae. The transcript has 3 exons.